RNAcentral lists this ribosomal RNA (172 nucleotides) under uncultured bacterium. Its description in RNAcentral is "partial 16S ribosomal RNA". It matches the Rfam family "Bacterial small subunit ribosomal RNA", at positions 338 to 524 of the family's 1533-position model. The record is from RNAcentral.
CCUACGGGAGGCAGCAGUGGGGAAUAUUGCGCAAUGGGCGAAAGCCUGACGCAGCAACGCCGCGUGUGUGAUAAAGGCUCUCGGGUCGUAAAGCACUGUCAGAAGGGAAGAAACAAAUGACGGUACCUUCAAAGGAAGCACCGGCUAACUCCGUGCCAGCAGCCGCGGUAAU